This is a long non-coding RNA of Thamnophis elegans (Western terrestrial garter snake), 2844 nucleotides long. RefSeq lists it as uncharacterized. NCBI's taxonomy places the organism in Eukaryota, Metazoa, Chordata, Lepidosauria, Squamata, Natricidae. The transcript is spliced from 2 exons. The record is from RefSeq and is a predicted model, not a curated record.
AAAAGUGGGGGGGGGGGGGGCGUAGCCGGUUUCUUGGACCUGUCACCUUCGAAUGGGCUGGACUACAAGUCCCAUUCUCCCCAACCAUGGUACCCUGGGGCCCUGCUGUUGCACAUCGAUGUUGGGAGGUGGAGUGCAACCAUCUCCCCCUUCCCUUCUCUCUCUUUCUCUUGCACACCAGCAGCCUGUUUCAUGCUGGUCUGGGACGGUAUCCAGGGUUUUUGAAGGGGGCCAAGUCGGGGGAAGGUUGGCUGAAGCCACCAGGCUUCUCUUUACCAGCAAUACCCGAAAUUCUAACUGAACACCUGCUCCCAAAUUCCCUGCUCCCAACAUCUUUUUGCUUUGAGGGGUGAUUGGGUGGCUGCUCUGAAACAGCUUGCUUCCUUCUGGAAGGAUUUUUAUUAGCUAUAUUGGCUUUUUUAUCUUACAGGUCAUUGAAUUCUGGGGAGUUUUAUAAUUAAGGUGACCUUCAAACAAAGUUGCUUGUCCUUGCAAUCCUGUACAUUUUUGCUGUAUGCCAAAUCCCUCUGAGUUCACUGAUGUUAUAAAGAAGCUAGUGAAGGGAUGUAGCUGUGUUAUGUUUUUAUUACUGCUGGUGGUUGCUUCUGUACCUGAAGUUAAAAUGGGACAAUUGAGCUGGAAAUUAAUUAACCAUUUACUUAUCAAAUUUUUACCAAAAGCAACUCUGGGCAGUGUACAAGGAAAUGAUCAAGGAGGAACCAAUGGCCUCUUUUAUUAAUUCAUGUGGAUCAGACAUUCAAUUCUAAUUUUUUGAUCAAGAUCGAAGUAUUAUUCAUCAAGAUUGAUCUGAAAGAAUCUCUGUGACUUUAAAUAUUAUGUACUUAUAUCAUACUGUUCAUAUUUUCUCACUGAAUAGAGUAGGAUGACUGCCAAAUAUGUAUGAACAUAAAAUGUGUUCGUGUUGUUGCAUUAAAUUUAACAGUAGAGCCUGUUCUAUGAAAUGUGUUACCCUUUGUGGGUGAAAUUUUUAUACAGAUUGUGUAGUUCUGUGGAGAAACAGCAAUAGAAAUAAGAGAUAGCUAAUAAUGAAAGGAAAGAAGUUUGUUAAUAUACGUGGAGUUUGAUGUGAAGCUUAAAUGCUCAUAAGCUAUUUAGAGUGACAACUUCUGAGAUAAAUCGUUUCUGGAUCAAUAUUCUUCUGUGGUGUGUUCAGGAUGACUAAAUGUAUGAUAUGAUGACCUUAAACCCCCUCUUUCUCUGGAUGAAUGUGCCAAAUGGUUUCUCAAUUUCCAGACAUGGCAUAUCUAUCUAUGACAGGUCUUCUUCAGCUCAGUUUCUUUCUUUCUUUAUCCACUGGGGGAAAUUUUCCAAUGUGCAGUUGGAUCACAUAGAAAGGUUGCAAACAGAGGGCCCCAGGUUUGCUUCUGGGCAUCUCCAGUUAAAAUGAUGAAAAAAUAGAUAAGGUAGGAAAAAGAGAACCUGGGACUUCAGUUAGCUUCCAAUACAGGAAAUGGUUAGAGAAACUCAUAAAUUAACAGCCUCCAGAGAACUGCAGGUUCCUCAACCCUGGAGAUCAUAGGUGUAGUUUUGAGAUUUGUAGAAGAAUACUUGCAGUGUUUAAAUUAAUAGGUAUCAUUGCAUAAUCUUGAGGAAUGAAUUUCUAUGUAGUAAGUUUAUGUGGUUUAAGGAAUUGUUGCUUUAAGCUUCAUGCUCCUGAAUAGUUGAUUAUAAACUCAAUGGUUCUGCUUCUAUUACUAUAAACGCAUAAUACUAUAGGAAUUAACUAGAGUUUGAAAUAACAUCAGGAAUGGGAAAGUUUGGUUCUCCAAAUGUUGCUAAAUUACAGCUCUCAGUAACCCCCAUUCUUAACUGGUUGAUCAGAACAACUGGGAAUUUGUUAAGGUAUAUAACCCUCUCUCCCCUGAAACAUUUCAUGUUGCAUUCAUAUUUUAUAGCACUUUUUUCCUUCUGUUUUUCCCCACAACCAACCUGGAAGGUAGGUUGGGCUUAGAGAUAAUAAUUGGCUAAAAGUCACCUAGUGCUUGAGGGUGGAUUGUAACAUUUACACCAUAAUAUACUGUCUGAGAACUCUCUAGAUGUGUGAAAUUCAGCUUUUAAUAUUUCCAGCCAGUGUGACCCUUGCUAAGAAUAUUUCUCAACAUUUCCCAAAUGUGUUACUAUGUAUGCUGUCUCUAUUCAGAAAGUCUCUAUUCAGAAACUAACUCCUCAGUUACUAUUGCCAAAACACUGCAAUUGUUCAUAUCAGAUAUUAAAAUGUAAUUAAAAUGAAUUAAGAUCCUCUAGUUCUUGAGUGGCAAAAAGUAGGGAUUUUAAGAUUAAGGAACGAGAGCGUAGAAGAUUGAAUUUAUGAAGGGGAGAAGCAAAGGAAGAUUCUGCUCAAUAAAAUUGUGUCUCAGCUGCCAAGUUGGGCGGAGGGAGUUUUGCAGUGCCCUUUGAAGCAUCUGAAGGACAACAAGUGCUGAUUGGAGGAUCUCAGUGUCAGAGAGAUUAAGGCCCUCCUCUAAUACUCCACCCCCAUACUAUGUUCUCUUUGAUUUUCCUGCACUGCUCUAUGUGAACUGUGGUGAAUGUGUUUGAUACUUUUCCGUGCAGUGUUGCUAAAUAAAGAACUUAUGGAAUCUGAAUGGUGAAAUUAUGCAACAGGACGUGGAAUCAGCCUUGCCCAAACUUUGAGAAAUGUUGGAUCUACACCCCAUCUUUUCUUCAGCCAGGAUGGCCUUGCUGCCUGAUGAAGAUAGGAGCUGUUGAUGCAAUAAUUAAUGAGAGUAGUACUUGCAAAAGCCUGGUUAGUGUACAAAGAAGGCACAGCAUUCCCCACAAUUCUGACCUUCUUGAAAAUAAUAAUCUUGUUGGUUUUUUUUU